UUAAGCGACUAAGCGUACACGGUGGAUGCCCUGGCAGUCAGAGGCGAUGAAGGACGUGCUAAUCUGCGAUAAGCGUCGGUAAGGUGAUAUGAACCGUUAUAACCGGCGAUUUCCGAAUGGGGAAACCCAGUGUGUUUCGACACACUAUCAUUAACUGAAUCCAUAGGUUAAUGAGGCGAACCGGGGGAACUGAAACAUCUAAGUACCCCGAGGAAAAGAAAUCAACCGAGAUUCCCCCAGUAGCGGCGAGCGAACGGGGAGCAGCCCAGAGCCUGAAUCAGUGUGUGUGUUAGUGGAAGCGUCUGGAAAGGCGCGCGAUACAGGGUGACAGCCCCGUACACAAAAAUGCACAUGCUGUGAGCUCGAUGAGUAGGGCGGGACACGUGGUAUCCUGUCUGAAUAUGGGGGGACCAUCCUCCAAGGCUAAAUACUCCUGACUGACCGAUAGUGAACCAGUACCGUGAGGGAAAGGCGAAAAGAACCCCGGCGAGGGGAGUGAAAAAGAACCUGAAACCGUGUACGUACAAGCAGUGGGAGCCUCUUUUAUGGGGUGACUGCGUACCUUUUGUAUAAUGGGUCAGCGACUUAUAUUCUGUAGCAAGGUUAACCGAAUAGGGGAGCCGAAGGGAAACCGAGUCUUAACUGGGCGUUAAGUUGCAGGGUAUAGACCCGAAACCCGGUGAUCUAGCCAUGGGCAGGUUGAAGGUUGGGUAACACUAACUGGAGGACCGAACCGACUAAUGUUGAAAAAUUAGCGGAUGACUUGUGGCUGGGGGUGAAAGGCCAAUCAAACCGGGAGAUAGCUGGUUCUCCCCGAAAGCUAUUUAGGUAGCGCCUCGUGAAUUCAUCUCCGGGGGUAGAGCACUGUUUCGGCAAGGGGGUCAUCCCGACUUACCAACCCGAUGCAAACUGCGAAUACCGGAGAAUGUUAUCACGGGAGACACACGGCGGGUGCUAACGUCCGUCGUGAAGAGGGAAACAACCCAGACCGCCAGCUAAGGUCCCAAAGUCAUGGUUAAGUGGGAAACGAUGUGGGAAGGCCCAGACAGCCAGGAUGUUGGCUUAGAAGCAGCCAUCAUUUAAAGAAAGCGUAAUAGCUCACUGGCCGAGUCGGCCUGCGCGGAAGAUGUAACGGGGCUAAACCAUGCACCGAAGCUGCGGCAGCGACGCUUAUGCGUUGUUGGGUAGGGGAGCGUUCUGUAAGCCUGUGAAGGUGUGCUGUGAGGCAUGCUGGAGGUAUCAGAAGUGCGAAUGCUGACAUAAGUAACGAUAAAGCGGGUGAAAAGCCCGCUCGCCGGAAGACCAAGGGUUCCUGUCCAACGUUAAUCGGGGCAGGGUGAGUCGACCCCUAAGGCGAGGCCGAAAGGCGUAGUCGAUGGGAAACAGGUUAAUAUUCCUGUACUUGGUGUUACUGCGAAGGGGGGACGGAGAAGGCUAUGUUGGCCGGGCGACGGUUGUCCCGGUUUAAGCGUGUAGGCUGGUUUUCCAGGCAAAUCCGGAAAAUCAAGGCUGAGGCGUGAUGACGAGGCACUACGGUGCUGAAGCAACAAAUGCCCUGCUUCCAGGAAAAGCCUCUAAGCAUCAGGUAACAUCAAAUCGUACCCCAAACCGACACAGGUGGUCAGGUAGAGAAUACCAAGGCGCUUGAGAGAACUCGGGUGAAGGAACUAGGCAAAAUGGUGCCGUAACUUCGGGAGAAGGCACGCUGAUAUGUAGGUGAAGCGACUUGCUCGUGGAGCUGAAAUCAGUCGAAGAUACCAGCUGGCUGCAACUGUUUAUUAAAAACACAGCACUGUGCAAACACGAAAGUGGACGUAUACGGUGUGACGCCUGCCCGGUGCCGGAAGGUUAAUUGAUGGGGUCAGCGCAAGCGAAGCUCUUGAUCGAAGCCCCGGUAAACGGCGGCCGUAACUAUAACGGUCCUAAGGUAGCGAAAUUCCUUGUCGGGUAAGUUCCGACCUGCACGAAUGGCGUAAUGAUGGCCAGGCUGUCUCCACCCGAGACUCAGUGAAAUUGAACUCGCUGUGAAGAUGCAGUGUACCCGCGGCAAGACGGAAAGACCCCGUGAACCUUUACUAUAGCUUGACACUGAACAUUGAGCCUUGAUGUGUAGGAUAGGUGGGAGGCUUUGAAGUGUGGACGCCAGUCUGCAUGGAGCCGACCUUGAAAUACCACCCUUUAAUGUUUGAUGUUCUAACGUUGACCCGUAAUCCGGGUUGCGGACAGUGUCUGGUGGGUAGUUUGACUGGGGCGGUCUCCUCCUAAAGAGUAACGGAGGAGCACGAAGGUUGGCUAAUCCUGGUCGGACAUCAGGAGGUUAGUGCAAUGGCAUAAGCCAGCUUGACUGCGAGCGUGACGGCGCGAGCAGGUGCGAAAGCAGGUCAUAGUGAUCCGGUGGUUCUGAAUGGAAGGGCCAUCGCUCAACGGAUAAAAGGUACUCCGGGGAUAACAGGCUGAUACCGCCCAAGAGUUCAUAUCGACGGCGGUGUUUGGCACCUCGAUGUCGGCUCAUCACAUCCUGGGGCUGAAGUAGGUCCCAAGGGUAUGGCUGUUCGCCAUUUAAAGUGGUACGCGAGCUGGGUUUAGAACGUCGUGAGACAGUUCGGUCCCUAUCUGCCGUGGGCGCUGGAGAACUGAGGGGGGCUGGCUCCUAGUACGAGAGGACCGGAGUGGACGCAUCACUGGUGUUCGGGUUGUCAUGCCAAUGGCACUGCCCGGUAGCUAAAUGCGGAAGAGAUAAGUGCUGAAAGCAUCUAAGCACGAAACUUGCCCCGAGAUGAGUUCUCCCUGACUCCUUGAGAGUCCUGAAGGAACGUUGAAGACGACGACGUUGAUAGGCCGGGUGUGUAAGCGCAGCGAUGCGUUGAGCUAACCGGUACUAAUGAACCGUGAGGCUUAACCUU
This 2903-nucleotide ribosomal RNA is filed under the name Escherichia coli BCE007_MS-11. Its description in RNAcentral is "bacterial LSU rRNA". It matches the Rfam family "Bacterial large subunit ribosomal RNA". Lineage: Bacteria; Pseudomonadati; Pseudomonadota; Gammaproteobacteria; Enterobacterales; Enterobacteriaceae. The record is from RNAcentral.